AGUGAACGCUGGCGGUAGGCCUAACACAUGCAAGUCGAACGGCAGCACAGUAAGAGCUUGCUCUUACUGGUGGCGAGUGGCGGACGGGUGAGGAAUACAUCGGAAUCUACUUUUUCGGGGGGGAUAACGUAGGGAAACUUACGCUAAUACCGCAUACGACCUACGGGUGAAAGCAGGGGAGCUUCGGACCUUUCGCGAUUGAAUGAGCCGGUGUCGGAUUAGCUAGUUGGCGGGGUAAAGGCCCACCAAGGCGACGAUACGUAGCUGGUCUGAGAGGAUGAUCAGCCACACUGGAACUGAGACACGGUCCAGACUCCUACGGGAGGCAGCAGUGGGGAAUAUUGGGCAAUGGGCGCAAGCCUGAUCCAGCCAUACCGCGUGGGUGAAGAAGGCCUUCGGGUUGUAAAGCCCUUUUGUUGGGAAAGAAAAGCAGCAGGUUAAUACCCCGCUGUUCUGACGGUACCCAAAGAAUAAGCACCGGCUAACUUCGUG
Molecule: ribosomal RNA, 492 nt
Filed under: uncultured bacterium
Lineage: Bacteria
Description: partial 16S ribosomal RNA
Rfam family: Bacterial small subunit ribosomal RNA
Source: RNAcentral